UGCAGGUAUCUCCAGCAGGUUUGCUCUGGC
Molecule: non-coding RNA, 30 nt
Filed under: Macaca fascicularis (crab-eating macaque)
Lineage: Eukaryota; Metazoa; Chordata; Mammalia; Primates; Cercopithecidae
Also listed under: 1 other name
Source: RNAcentral